This 272-nucleotide ribosomal RNA is filed under the name uncultured bacterium. RNAcentral describes it as "partial 16S ribosomal RNA". It matches the Rfam family "Bacterial small subunit ribosomal RNA", at positions 524 to 794 of the family's 1533-position model. The record is from RNAcentral.
UACGUAGGGUGCAAGCGUUGCCCCGGAUUUAUUGGGCGUAAAGGGCGCGCAGGCGGCCCGGCGCGUCCGCGGUGAAAGCUCCCGGCUCAACUGGGAGAGGUCCGCGGAGACGGUCGGGCUCGAGCAAGGUAGGGGGUCGUGGAAUUCCCGGUGUAGUGGUGAAAUGCGUAGAUAUCGGGAGGAACACCAGUGGCGAAGGCGACUUCCUGGCCUGUUCUUGACGCUGAGGCGCGAAAGCUAGGGGAGCAAACGGGAUUAGAUACCCGUGUAGU